RNAcentral lists this ribosomal RNA (308 nucleotides) under Streptomyces sp. RNB-0-5-18a. RNAcentral's name for it is "bacterial SSU rRNA". It matches the Rfam family "Bacterial small subunit ribosomal RNA", at positions 54 to 354 of the family's 1533-position model. The record is from RNAcentral. Lineage: Bacteria; Bacillati; Actinomycetota; Actinomycetes; Kitasatosporales; Streptomycetaceae.
GCGCGUCUANCAUGCAGUCGAACGAUGAACCACUUCGGUGGGGAUUAGUGGCGAACGGGUGAGUAACACGUUGGGCAAUCUGCCCUGCACUCUGGGACAAGCCCUGGAAACGGGGUCUAAUACCGGAUACUGACCCGCCUGGGCAUCCAGGCGGUUCGAAAGCUCCGGCGGUGCAGGAUGAGCCCGCGGCCUAUCAGCUUGUUGGUGAGGUAACGGCUCACCAAGGCGACGACGGGUAGCCGGCCUGAGAGGGCGACCGGCCACACUGGGACUGAGACACGGCCCAGACUCCUACGGAAGGCAGCAGA